Molecule: ribosomal RNA, 253 nt
Filed under: uncultured bacterium
Lineage: Bacteria
Description: partial 16S ribosomal RNA
Rfam family: Bacterial small subunit ribosomal RNA
Source: RNAcentral
UACGGAGGAUCCAAGCGUUAUCCGGAUUUAUUGGGCUUAAAGGGUGCGUAGGUGGCCUGGUAAGUCAGGGGUGAAAGACGGUAGCUUAACUAUCGCAGUGCCUUUGAUACUGCCGGGCUUGAAUGAACUAGAGGUAGGCGGAAUUCCGGGUGGAGUGGUGAAAUGCGUAGAGAUCCGGAGGAACACCAGAGGCGAAGGCGGCCUACUGGGCUGCACCUGACGCUGAGCCGCGAAAGCCAGGGGAGCGAACGGG